Amphiprion ocellaris (clown anemonefish) is the source of this 1485-nucleotide long non-coding RNA. RefSeq lists it as uncharacterized. Lineage: Eukaryota; Metazoa; Chordata; Actinopteri; Pomacentridae. The transcript has 3 exons. The record is from RefSeq and is a predicted model, not a curated record.
AGCUCUCUCUCAGUAGUUCAAGUUCAUCCCUGUUUGGCAUCUGUUGGGAUUUUGAGUGUGGCUGGGAACUAGAAGGUCCAUCUGACCAGUUGGACUGACUUCUGUUUGGGGUUUUUUUGCAUUUUUUGGAAGGUGACAAAUCCAAAGCUGGUUUCGCAACUAACUUUUGACGGAAGCAGCGACUUUAAAGACUUGGGUCUUGAACCAGCCCGGCUCUUCCGUUGGUUUUGACCCACCUCACAACAAAUCAGCAGACAUGAUCAUCAGACUGGGCAGACUGACACCUGGAUACUUCCGCCUCCUCCAGAGGCAAGUAGCAGGUGAGGUGCAGACGCAGCCACAGGACCGGGCCGUCAACCAGAUAGCCAUGAUGCUGGCCAUCAUGGGCCUGAGUUUGUCCUACUAUAGUGCCAAACAGAUGACGGAGAAGGUCCAACCCCAGCCUGCACCCUGAAGUGACUUGAAACACUCUGAUCGUGGAGGCGAUGGAUGAACCAAUGAGAAGUGAAGGAGGUGGAGCGAGGCGGCAGAAGUGGAGACGCAGCAGCGUCUCUCGGGAUUCAGCACUUUUCUCACCUCACAGUCAUACUCGGACACUGAAUUUCUGGGAUCCCUCAAUCACCAUCCGAAAAGCUUUCAGGACUGCAAUUAAGUGUUUUCUAUAUGUUCUGUCGCCAGGACCUUCAGGGAUUUGUGGGGAUGACUCACUCUGGGUCGUGGAUAGAACUGAUUUUCUUUAAUGGACUGGUUCGGGUGGGUGAUCAAAGCCAGCUAACUGGGUCUGAACUUUAGUCAUUACAAUGGUACAUGCUUGCAAGAUGCCAUUUUCUAGAUUAUAUAAAGGAAAACAAACUGUGAAAAAAGCAAGUAGAGUUAAAUUACAUGCACAGUAAUGCCUAUUUAAGGGAUGGCAGACUGCCAUUGAGAUGUACCUUGUAACGAAGUGACGGCAGGCCCAGAAAGCGGUUAAAGAGGAUUAGAAGUGAGCUCAACCCUUUGUUUUUUUUUUUUUUGUUUGUUUGUUUUUCCUUCAGCAAGACAAUCUUCCAGAGCCUUCUGAACAGGUUAAGAGCUGUAUUUAACAAUAUACGAACGCACGCACGCACACGCACACACUCACACACAAACACAAACAAGUGAACUGUACUUGUCAGGUGUCUGCGAUUCAGUGAAUAUUUGCACAAAACUGCAGGAUUAUUUUUAAAUACUACAGUUAAUUUGCAAAGGGACUUACUCACUUUUUUUUUUUCUUGUGAUUUCACUGUUUUAGCAUUUAAUGGUGAAGUCCUGUAUGUGUGACUACCGUGAUAUGGACCCAGGUUAAGAACCCUUUCCUGCGGUAUGUUAAUGCAAACAUUUAACUUUACUGAAUUGCAUGGGUGUGACCUUUAAUCAAUUCACGUGUCUGUCUUGUUUUUAUUGAUGAAUGAAUAUAUUACUUUAUUUUGUAAUGAUUUAAUAAAGCUGUGAAUAUUUUGAAAGAUA